RNAcentral lists this ribosomal RNA (714 nucleotides) under uncultured bacterium. Its description in RNAcentral is "bacterial SSU rRNA". It matches the Rfam family "Bacterial small subunit ribosomal RNA", at positions 219 to 925 of the family's 1533-position model. The record is from RNAcentral.
CCGAGGAUGAGCCCGCGGUGGAUUAGCUUGUUGGCGGGGUAACGGCCCGCCAAGGCGACGAUCCAUAGCUGGUCUGAGAGGACGAUCAGCCACACUGGGACUGAGACACGGCCCAGACUCCUACGGGAGGCAGCAGUGGGGAAUCUUGCGCAAUGGGCGAAAGCCUGACGCAGCGACGCCGCGUGGGGGAAGAAGGCCUUAGGGUUGUAAACCUCUUUCAGGUGGGACGAAGCCACUCGGGUUAAUAGCCCAGAGGGUGACGGUACCGCCAGAAGAAGCCCCGGCUAACUACGUGCCAGCAGCCGCGGUAAUACGUAGGGGGCAAGCGUUGUCCGGAUUUAUUGGGCGUAAAGAGCGUGUAGGCGGCCAGGUAGGUCGGUUGUGAAAACUGGAGGCUCAACCUUCAGACGUCGACCGAAACCAUCUGGCUAGAGUCCGGAAGAGGAGAGUGGAAUUCCUGGUGUAGCGGUGGAAUGCGCAGAUAUCAGGAAGAACACCCGUGGCGGAGGCGGCUCUCUGGGACGGUACUGACGCUGAGACGCGAAAGCGUGGGGAGCGAACAGGAUUAGAUACCCUGGUAGUUCACGCCGUAAACGAUGGGUGCUAGGUGUGGGGGGUGUCGACUCCCCCCGUGCCGAAGCUAACGCAUUAAGCACCCCGCCUGGGGAGUACGGCCGCAAGGCUAAAACUCAAAGGAAUUGACGGAAUCGAAUU